This 441-nucleotide long non-coding RNA is filed under the name Equus asinus (donkey). Its description in RNAcentral is "lncRNA (ENSEASG00005031787.1)". The record is from RNAcentral. Lineage: Eukaryota; Metazoa; Chordata; Mammalia; Perissodactyla; Equidae.
GAAUCAGCCACUGGAGAACCCAAAUCACUGCUGCAAGCCCAGCCCAUCUUCCGGGUCCACCUCAGAGACGUUUCCUCCGAGAAGCCCUCCCUGCUCCCAGCCGUGUCUCCGUCAUCUCUGUCUGGGUACAUGUCCCUCUUCUCCCGACCCUGUGGACUGCUCGAGAGCAGAGAUCCAAUCUUGCCGACAGCUGUGUCCCCACAGCGCUCAGUAAGUACCAGUGCACAGUACUUCCUCACGUCUGUGGGAAACAAGAAGGAAGGCUUCCUGGCACACGCGCCAGACGCAGAGCCACUCCAGGCAGUGCCCUCAGCUCGAAGGUCUGGAUGGAAGGGGCACUGCUCCUGCUUCCAAACGCACCGAUCCUCAGUUUUGAACUCACCCACCAUCGGUUCCGUCCUUUCACCGCUCCUCAUUUGGCUACUUUGGUCUAACUUUCAG